This 231-nucleotide ribosomal RNA is filed under the name uncultured bacterium. RNAcentral's name for it is "partial 16S ribosomal RNA". It matches the Rfam family "Bacterial small subunit ribosomal RNA", at positions 335 to 581 of the family's 1533-position model. The record is from RNAcentral.
ACUCCUACGGGAGGCAGCAGUGGGGAAUCUUGGACAAUGGGGGCAACCCGUGCAUCCAGCCAUGCCGCGUGAGUGAUGAAGGCCCUAGGGUCGUAAAGCUCUUUCGCCUGUGAAGAUAAUGACUGUAGCAGGUAAAGAAACCCCGCGUACAUCCGUGCCAGCAGCCGCGGUAAUACGGAGGGGGUUAGCGUUGUUCGGAAUUACUGGGCGUAAAGCGCGCGUAGGCGGACU